GGGAAAGUCCCAUGUUGGACGGUAGAUGUUAUUGGAAAGACUGUGGCUCCCUUUCAUGAGUUCUUUGUUAAAUUAACAAAAAAUUUUAAUGGACUCAGAAGGAAAUUUAGGGACAAUUUUGUAAUUUUAGGAAUUCAGCAGGGAAUGGAGGUCAACAAGCAGACACAUGACCAAUAGCAGGAUUCAGAGGUAGUCUUUUUGGAGAAGUGGGCAGUCCCGAGUUUUUUGAUGAGAACGGACAGCACCUUGUCCAGUGGGUCCAUUACUCCUCUCUGAAGCCACUUGGGAAUAGUAGUCCUGGCAUGGUGAAAGCCCAAUUUUUGAAGAAUAUAAUCAACACCUACAGGAUCAAUCUUUCUUCCAGUCCAAGAAAUUAAUCUAAAAUGGUAAUUAGAAAUGGUCAUUAUCAAGGUGUAUAAUGCACGAACAUUACUGUACUCCCUUAAUAUAU
RNAcentral lists this long non-coding RNA (451 nucleotides) under Mus caroli (Ryukyu mouse). Its description in RNAcentral is "lncRNA (MGP_CAROLIEiJ_G0003351.1)". The record is from RNAcentral. Lineage: Eukaryota; Metazoa; Chordata; Mammalia; Rodentia; Muridae.